UUUCUUUUACAUCCAUUAUCCGCCCGGGAACUACGAGCAUUAGCUUAAAACCCAAAGGACCUGGCGGUGCUUAAGACCCCCCUAGAGGAGCCUGUUCUAGAACCGAUAAUCCCCGUUCAACCUCACCCUCUCUUGCUUAUUCAGCCUAUAUACCGCCGUCGUCAGCCCACCCUGUGAAGGAUUAAUAGUGAGCAAAAUUGGCAUAGCCUAAAACGUCAGGUCGAGGUGUAGCAUAUGGGAGGGGAAGAAAUGGGCUACAUUCUCUAACAAUAGAGCAUACGGAUAAUAUAUUGAAACAUAUAUUUUAAGGUGGAUUUAGUAGUAAGUAGGAAAUAGAGUGUCCUGCUGAACCCGGCCCUAAAGCAUGCACACACCGCCCGUCACCCUCUGCAGUCAACA
RNAcentral lists this ribosomal RNA (399 nucleotides) under Betta splendens (Siamese fighting fish). RNAcentral describes it as "partial 12S ribosomal RNA". It matches the Rfam family "Bacterial small subunit ribosomal RNA", at positions 875 to 1416 of the family's 1533-position model. The record is from RNAcentral. Lineage: Eukaryota; Metazoa; Chordata; Actinopteri; Anabantiformes; Osphronemidae.